This is a long non-coding RNA of Patella vulgata (common limpet), 1503 nucleotides long. RefSeq lists it as uncharacterized. NCBI's taxonomy places the organism in Eukaryota, Metazoa, Mollusca, Gastropoda, Patellidae. The record is from RefSeq and is a predicted model, not a curated record. The transcript is spliced from 7 exons.
AACUGGGUUAUCUUGAUAGCUCGUGAUGAAAGUAAUUUAAUAAUAAUCUAGUUUAGGUGGAUAGUUGCAGUCCUACAAAUUCAUCGUAUCCAGUAUCAGUAUUUUUAAACCAAUUAUUAUGAAAUUAGAAGGAAAGACAGUGUUCAUUACCGGGGCCGCCCAGGGCUUAGGACAAGGAAUUACUGAGGCCCUACUAGAAAGAGGGGCGAAGGUUUGUGUUGCUGACGUGAACCUCGAAAAGGGUGAAGAAACUGUCAAACAGUUCCAACAGAAGUUCGGCAAGGAAACUGUAUUCUUUAUCAAAGCUGAUGUAACCAAUGAAAAGGAGUUUGAAGAUGCAUUUAAAGAAGCCGUGACACGUCUUGGUAAUAUAGAUAUUAUGGUCAACAACGCUGGUAUAAUGGAUGAAAGUAAAUGGGAAUUAAUGAUACAAAUUAAUGUUGUGGACAAGUUUGGUUAGAGGAACCAAUAUGGCGAUAGCUCACAUGAAUAAAGUAACUGGUGGUAAAGGGGGCCUUGUAAUAAACACCGCAUCUGUAGCAGGGUUUGCACCAGGAGUAUCUUUUCCUGUUUAUGGAGGAACAAAACAUGCUGUUAUAGGAUUUACUACUAGUUGGGCGGCCAAUCCAAAUGUUGAAUCAAUGGGGAUCAGAUUUGCUUGUUUAUGUCCGUCUCCGGCAGAUACAGCCCUUUUGGAUUUAAAAGACCACCAGGGCAUCAUGGUCAGCCGGUUUACCAAAUUCAUUAAUGAAGUGUUGGGUGUGGCACCAGUUAGUAAGAUCGUAGAAGGAUUUAUUACAUUGGUAGAAAAAGACGAUAAUAAUGGCGCACUCUUACUUGUUGGUAAAAAUGAAGGAAUACAAUUUGUAAAUCGGUUUUAUGAUCCAAUGGCUUCGUUAUCAAAACAAAAACAGGAUGAUACUGCAAAGACUUCCUAAAAUGUAUAAUUCGGUCAGUUUAGCGACGAAAUUGUGUAAAAUAGAAUUAAUAGAUACCCGGUGAUUGUGAAAAAUUGACCAUGCAUUUUCAGGCGUCACUGUAUUAUAAAUAACAAGAAACACUGUGUUAAUUAAAAAAGAUAAAUACAUGUAGUUAACAAUAAAUAUUUUUUCAGUGAUUUGAUGGAAAUAGCUUUAUAGUUGGUGAAAUAGUACCAUUAGCUAGAAGAUUCGUCCAAUAGUACAGAAUAAAUACACAAAACCCAGCGAACUGGGGAUAAACUACUGUUUGGCCAUUUUUUAAAAUAAUUUUAAUUUUCUUUUUGGAUGUUUAUUCUAACUUAUAUGCUAUUACCACGUGAUAUUUAUUCAGUGGCAUACACCGUUCCCAUUGGCCUAUUGCGGAUUUUAAAAAAUAGUGUCUAAAACGUGAAAUCAGCAAAUAGGCUUCAAAUACAUUUAUCUGUAGCCAAUAUAAAUUUCUUAAAAUUGUAUUUCAUAAACCUGACAUUUGAUAUGAUCUGAUUUGUAUUCAUCGUAAAUAAACGGGUAUAUAGACUUGCUA